CCCGAAGUAUCCUGAAUCUUUCGCAUUGUUAAUCAUACAAAUGCAUAUAAUAAACACAAAAAUCAUCGAUUAAUAUGCUAUUAUAUAAUUCCGAAGAAUUAACGCACNNUAUAUAUGAUAAAUCUAUCAAUACUUUAUCAAAUCAAUAAAACAUUUAUUUUAUGUUAAAAUGCCNAAACAUAAUAAUUAGAAUAAACNAUAGCUNNNGAUUUUUUNAUAAAUAUUNNNCUAUAUUAAUAGAUUACAAUGUCCUUAUAUGGAAAAAANGCACACUAUAAUCAAUAAUAUUUUNAAAAUACUACAACUAUAAUGAUGAAUUUUCCAUAACGGAUAUUCAGGUUCAUCGGGC
RNAcentral lists this ribosomal RNA (349 nucleotides) under Leucophenga maculata. RNAcentral describes it as "28S ribosomal RNA, D2 domain". The record is from RNAcentral. Lineage: Eukaryota; Metazoa; Arthropoda; Insecta; Diptera; Drosophilidae.